GUGGGGAAUAUUGGGCAAUGGGCGAAAGCCUGACCCAGCAACGCCGCGUGAAGGAAGAAGGUCUUCGGAUCGUAAACUUCUAUCCUUGGUGAAGAUAAUGACGGUAGCCGAGAAGGAAGCCCCGGCUAACUACGUGCCAGCAGCCGCGAUAAUACGUAGGGGGCAAGCGUUGUCCGGAAUGAUUGGGCGUAAAGGGCGCGUAGGCGGCCUGGUAAGUCUGGAGUGAAAGUCCUGCUUUUAAGGUGGGAAUUGCUUUGGAUACUGUCGGGCUUGAGUGCAGGAGAGGUAAGCGGAAUUCCCGGUGUAGCGGUGAAAUGCGUAGAGAUCGGGAGGAACACCAGUGGCGAAGGCGGCUUACUGGACUGUAACUGACGCUGAGGCGCGAAAGUGUGGGGAGCAAACAGGAUUAGAUACCCGGGUAGUCC
Molecule: ribosomal RNA, 425 nt
Filed under: uncultured bacterium
Lineage: Bacteria
Description: partial 16S ribosomal RNA
Rfam family: Bacterial small subunit ribosomal RNA
Source: RNAcentral